This 25-nucleotide unclassified non-coding RNA is filed under the name Mus musculus (house mouse). RNAcentral's name for it is "oocyte_clustered_small_RNA6723". Lineage: Eukaryota; Metazoa; Chordata; Mammalia; Rodentia; Muridae. The record is from RNAcentral.
UGAUGAUAUGCUGUCCAAGGAGUAG